This is a non-coding RNA of Acanthosepion pharaonis, 111 nucleotides long. The record is from the annotation of a GenBank genome assembly. NCBI's taxonomy places the organism in Eukaryota, Metazoa, Mollusca, Cephalopoda, Sepiida, Sepiidae.
UAGCCAUAUCAUGUUGAGACACCGGUUCUCAUCUGAUCACUGAAGUUAAGCAACACUGAGUUUAGUCAGUACCUAGAUGGGUAACCACUUGGGAAUACUAGGUGCUGUAAG